GUGCCAGCAGCCGCGGUAAUACGUAGGGUGCAAGCGUUGUCCGGAAUUAUUGGGCGUAAAGAGCUCGUAGGCGGUUUGUCACGUCUGCUGUGAAAUUCCGAGGCUCAACCUCGGACUUGCAGUGGGUACGGGCAGGCUAGAGUGCGGUAGGGGAGAUGGGAAUUCCUGGUGUAGCGGUGGAAUGCGCAGAUAUCAGGAGGAACACCAAUGGCGAAGGCACAUCUCUGGGCCGUAACUGACGCUGAGGAGCGAAAGCGUGGGGAGCGAACAGGAUUAGAUACCCUGGUAGUCCACGCCGUAAACGGUGGGUGCUAGCUGUGGGCCACAUUCCACGUGGUCCGUGACGAAGUUAACACAUUAAGCACCCCGCCUGGGGAGUACGGCCGCAAGGCUAAAACUCAAAGGAAUUGACGGGGGCCCGCACAAGCGGCGGAGCAUGCGGAUUAAUUCGAUGCAACGCGCAGAACCUUACC
RNAcentral lists this ribosomal RNA (473 nucleotides) under uncultured Actinomycetes bacterium. RNAcentral's name for it is "bacterial SSU rRNA". It matches the Rfam family "Bacterial small subunit ribosomal RNA", at positions 505 to 975 of the family's 1533-position model. Lineage: Bacteria; Bacillati; Actinomycetota; Actinomycetes. The record is from RNAcentral.